UCUAUGUAGUAGAGAGCUUGUAUGUGAGACUUAUGCAUGGGUUUAGCAUUCUAAUUGGGACUUGGAAUCAUGCUCCAUAUAGUAGACAUGACAAAUGUAAUAUGCCUUGGACAUAAAUCUCAUUUGGACAUAGGAGAAUACAUUAGGCCAUAAAGUGGCUUUGGACUUGAAUAACUUGUGAGUUAGGGAGCUAAUGUCGUAAUGCGACAUCGGGCUUGAGCUAUGAAUGAGCCUAGCAAAGUAAUGCCAUAGAGAGGCAUUAGACUUGAAUGAUAUGUGAAUUGUAUGUGCAUGUUAAUAUUAUGAGAAUUAUGCUAAGUUGGUAGUUGCAUUGGAAAGUGUAUGCAUGUAGCAUUAUGAGAACUAUGCUAUGUUGAUAGUUGCAUACGGACGCAUUGAAACCAUAUGUUAGUGGAUAGAUGCAUGUUAAUAUUUAUAUGCAUUGUGGAAUACAUGCUAGGUACAUAUUAGCAAUGUGAGAUCAUGCUAGAGAGCAUGCGUAUUAACCUAUUAUUGAUAGGGUAAGCUAAUGUCAUAAAGAGGCAUUGGGCUUGGAAUUGGUAUAUUAAGCUAAUGUCAUAAAGCGACAUUGAGCUUGGGACAUGUAUGAACCUAGUAAUUAAUGCCAUAAAGAGGCAUGGAAAUUGGAACAUGCUUGGAUAUAGUAAUGUUCUAGUGCCCUAAAAAGGCACUAGACUUAGUGAAUGUUGGAACUUCACUUGGGGAUAUUAAACUAAACCUAUGAGUUGCU
This 751-nucleotide long non-coding RNA is filed under the name Ananas comosus (pineapple). RNAcentral's name for it is "long non-coding RNA (ACOM_LNC043044)". The record is from RNAcentral. Lineage: Eukaryota; Viridiplantae; Streptophyta; Magnoliopsida; Poales; Bromeliaceae.